RNAcentral lists this long non-coding RNA (2724 nucleotides) under Zostera marina. RNAcentral's name for it is "long non-coding RNA (ZMAR_LNC002691)". Lineage: Eukaryota; Viridiplantae; Streptophyta; Magnoliopsida; Alismatales; Zosteraceae. The record is from RNAcentral.
UUCAACUCUCUUGCCUCCUCUGUGGACAGGAAAAUGAAACUAUCAGUCACCUAUUCUUUAAUUGCAAAUAUAUCAGAUAACUACUACAAACCGUUUCUGAAUUUCUUAACUAGGACUUGUGGAAAAUUACAAACUCACAAGCCCCUACACUCAUUAACCCAGAUAUUAGAAUAGGGGAUAUAAUUAAAUCUUGGAAAAAAUUGACAUCAAUCUCCCUCAUCUGGUCUGAAAGGAACAAAAGGUUGUGUUGGCAAAAUCUUAGACCUACAGAAGUGGUAUUUCUGGAAAGCAUUAAGGACUCCAGUCUCUCUUUCAGAGCUGAAAUCUUUAAAAAAUACUGUGGUUCACAAAUGGAGAGAACCAUUAUGAAGGUUUGGGAGACAAACCUCCUGAGGCUUAGCUACUAGUUAAUUGAUCACUAGGAAUGCAAGUCAAAUAGGACUAUAGGAGUAGUUUGAUGGAGUGGGCAACCACUGCAUCCACACUGUUGAUAUGUUGCUUAAAAACAGCAAUAAUAUUAAAGGUCUGCAAAAAUCCAUUAAAUUUUUACUUAUUGUCAUAAGAAUCAAAUCAAUGAAAUGACUAUAAAAAUAAAUUUAUAAGUUAUAUUUCAUAUACAAUUUACUCAAUAGAAGAAGUUGAUUUAUGGAUAUGCAAAGUUGAUAUUGGUUUUACACAAAAUUCUUAAUAUUUAAGACAAAUAUUUCGAGAAGUACUAGCUAUGAUAUAUUAUAUGACAGAAUUAUUACUUGAAGAUUGACAUAGCUAGGCUAAAUUAUUUACAAAUGUGUUAUUGAACUUUCACAAAGAACAUUUUGCAUUAAAUUUAAUUUAAAUAUAAUUAAGUCACUCUGAUGUACAGAAGAAAUAGUAGCUUUGUUACAUAUUAUAUAUUAUCUUGUUUACUGCUAUUUUUUUGGUUAAUUAUGUAAUAUGGCAAAUUAUAUUGUCAGGAAAAUAAGAUGAUUAAUUUGAAUAAUUUUUUAUAAAUUAUUAUAUAUUUACAUGACAACUCAAUCGAAGUCAUGAUAUUAUAAUCCUAAACUCAGCAAACUUAACAGUUAAUUAGGCGAGUUCAUGUAAUAUACCAUACACGAAUACAUUUUCUAAAUUAAGAUUUCAUCAUGCAAGACUCCCUUUCUAAUUUUUGAAAAUCAGAAAAGGUCUUUUUUCCCAAUCGCUCAAAUUUGUGGCUAAUACAGAUGACUAGUUAAUAGAUGCGAUGGUCAGUCUAAAUACAUUAAUUUCAAGAUUCUUAGAACUUAAAAUGAUGUGUUGCUAAAAUACAAGAUGACUAUUAAAAGUCUUCUAAAAUUCAAAAUUUUUUUAAAUAAUCACUGACGAUUCAAAUAAAUUAAUCAACGCUUAAGCUAGAAAAAAAUUAGUAUUAGAAACAUAUAUAGUUAAAAUCAGAAAAUAUAGAAUGGCCAAAAUUACUGAUGAAACUACUUGACAGACAUAGAAAUUAUAGAAAAAUAGUGAAAAUGCCUAUGAAAGAUAGAAUACUUACCAAGGAGGUUAUAAUAACCAUUGCCGCUUAAUUUUGUUACAAUGGAUGGGGAAGAUCCUACAAAGAAUAAAUUGAUGAAUCAGGGAUGUUUUGACUAGCUGACGGACAUUUUGCAUUAAAUUUAAUUUAAAUAUAAUUAAGUAACUAUGAUGUACAGAAGAAAUAUUAGCUUUGUUACAAAGAAAAUAACAAAAAGAUUCAACUUGGAGAUUGACAAAUUAGGGACCCUCAAAUCAAUCGUUUUUCUUCAAAUUUUGAUUCAAUUAACUAACUAGUGAGGUGAAGCAGCACAAUUUCUUGGUUUCAAUUUUCUUGGUUUCAAUUUUCAAUUUCUUGGUUACAUCGUAUGGUUUUAGAGUUAUUUUUGGUAGACAUAAGAUUUAUAGUGACCUUUUAUUUCGCAAGAUUUUUUGCAGGAUAAUCAUGCUACUCGACCCAUAACUCAGACUUCAAAGGAACAACGCACAGGUAUAUUUUUUAGAUGAACUGAUUAUGUAAGAAAGCCCCAUCCAGAGAUCACAUUAAUUAUUGACUUUUUAACGUGCUUUCGGGGGGGGGAAGAAGGGGGAAAUGGUUCCCCCAAUGCAAUCUAAACAUAAUGGGUAUUUCCAGGAAUAAAGCUUCAGAGAUUAGGUCGAAAAUACACCUGGGCGUAAACAAUGACUGAACAAAAUGUAUAUGACUAGGGAUUCCAAAAUAAUUUUUUGGUUUCACGAGAGGACGAUUGACAAAAGAUUAGGUAUGAUACCUGAUUUUAAUUAACCUGAACUUGCUGUAGGAAAUGAUAAACGCCCACGGUAGCAAAGUGCUUUGAUUUGCAGAGGGACAGUUGUCGGAAGGGAAUAGCAAGAUAAAUGGCGAUUCGUCGGUCCGGCGGUGGGUAACCAAUAAGAAUGAUGUUUGAAUUAUGGGUGGAACGAGUAAUUACGAGGUGGAAGAACGAUGUCAUCGUACGGGAUGAACAGUUCGCGGUAAGGGUGAACGAAUUCAACAACAGGGCAUGGCGCACGUCUCAUCGUGCAUCGAGUGGGAGGAAGAAGAAUGAACGGUCGAGAAUUCUUGCUCAGAUGGACGGCCGGAUCGGAGGUCCGCAAAAGGGACCGUUCGAACAACCGGCCGUCCCAAAAACGUUCCCUAUAUAUAUAUAUAUAUUUGCAUAUUAAAUAUAUCUUCUAUCUGUAUUCAAAAUUAUUAAUCAGAUUCGAAUUUUAACG